Molecule: ribosomal RNA, 502 nt
Filed under: uncultured bacterium
Lineage: Bacteria
Description: bacterial SSU rRNA
Rfam family: Bacterial small subunit ribosomal RNA
Source: RNAcentral
AUUGAACGCUGGCGGAAUGCUUUACACAUGCAAGUCGAACGGCAGCACGGGGCAACCUGGUGGCGAGUGGCGAACGGGUGAGUAAUACAUCGGAACGUGCCCAAUCGUGGGGGAUAACGUAGCGAAAGUUACGCUAAUACCGCAUACGAUCUACGGAUGAAAGCGGGGGAUCGCAAGACCUCGCGCGAAUGGAGCGGCCGAUGUCAGAUUAGGUAGUUGGUGGGGUAAAGGCUCACCAAGCCAACGAUCUGUAGCUGGUCUGAGAGGACGACCAGCCACACUGGAACUGAGACACGGUCCAGACUCCUACGGGAGGCAGCAGUGGGGAAUUUUGGACAAUGGGCGCAAGCCUGAUCCAGCCAUUCCGCGUGCAGGAUGAAGGCCUUCGGUUGUAACUAGCUUUGUACGGUAACGAAACGGUACUGCCCUAAUACGCGGGCGUAAGUGACGGUACCGUAAGGAAGUAAAGACACCGGCUAACUACGUAGCCAGCAGCCGCGGU